RNAcentral lists this ribosomal RNA (443 nucleotides) under uncultured bacterium. Its description in RNAcentral is "partial 16S ribosomal RNA". It matches the Rfam family "Bacterial small subunit ribosomal RNA", at positions 338 to 795 of the family's 1533-position model. The record is from RNAcentral.
CCUACGGGAGGCAGCAGUGGGGAAUAUUGGACAAUGGGGGGAACCCUGAUCCAGCGACGCCGCGUGAGUGAAGAAGUAUUUUGGUAUGUAAAGCUCUAUCAGCAGGGAAGAAAGAAAUGACGGUACCUGACUAAGAAGCCCCGGCUAACUACGUGCCAGCAGCCGCGGUAAUACGUAGGGGGCAAGCGUUAUCCGGAUUUACUGGGUGUAAAGAGAGCGUAGACGGCGAUGUAAGUCUGAAGUGAGAGGCGGGGGCCCAACCCCUGGACUGCUUUGGAAACUGUAUGGCUGGAGUGAAGGAGAGGUAAGUGGAAGUCCUAGUGUAGCGGUGAAAUGCGUAGAUAUUAGGAGGAACACCAGUGGCGAAGGCGGCUUACUGGACUGUAACUGACGUUGAGGCUCGAAAGCGUGGGGAGCAAACAGGAUUAGAUACCCUGGUAGUC